UACGUAGGGUGCGAGCGUUGUCCGGAAUUAUUGGGCGUAAAGAGCUUGUAGGCGGUUUGUCGCGUCUGCUGUGAAAAUCCGGGGCUCAACCCCGGACUUGCAGUGGUACGGGCAGACUAGAGUGUGGUAGGGGAGAUUGGAAUUCCUGGUGUAGCGGUGGAAAUGCGCAGAAUAGUCAGGAGGGAACACCGAUGGCGAAGGCAGAUCUCUGGGCCGUAACUGACGCUGAGGAGCGAAA
Molecule: ribosomal RNA, 238 nt
Filed under: uncultured bacterium
Lineage: Bacteria
Description: partial 16S ribosomal RNA
Rfam family: Bacterial small subunit ribosomal RNA
Source: RNAcentral